Molecule: RNA transcript, 3535 nt
Organism: Diorhabda sublineata
Lineage: Eukaryota; Metazoa; Arthropoda; Insecta; Coleoptera; Chrysomelidae
Exons: 5
Source: RefSeq, a predicted model, not a curated record
AGAUCAUAAGCGUGAUUAGUUUAUUGAUAAUGUGCAAGUGACUGUUACUACAAAAAUGGUUUUUUACAUGGAAAUUCUUAAUUUUAUAUUUUCAAGUCAAACAUCUGGAGAACUAAAGAUUAUUCUCAUGGUUCAUUUCACCUUGACCGCAUUAGGAGGUAUGGCAUGUGUAUCUUCCUUCUCAUACGUCUUUUAUAAUUCAGCUAUUAUAUUAACUUUGCUGUGGAGCAUACAUGACAAACCAAAUUUAGAACCAUUACGUUUAAUGGUGGGGCUCGAAUUGUGUGCAAUCCUUAUAGAUCUAUUUUAUUUUAGUGUAAUGUUGACUGAAAGAUCAAGUAAGACUCUAUAUUUUCAUUAAUUAUCAAUUUUUCACAGCUAAAUAUAUCUAAAAAGCUGAUUUAUUGAUCUAUUAUUAUAAGCAUCAUCUGCCAAAAUAAUACUCCCAACACCUAGAGCAUACCUAUAAUAAAUCAGUGAGGAAACUCACCAGAAGUAGCACAAGGAACUGUAUUAGACCAAGUCAGUGUGUCAGACCAAGUCAGUGUAAACGUAGUACUAAUAAGAUACCUGGUUAUCAGGUGUCAAUAAAAAAUGAACUGAACUAGGAAUAAAAUUGAAAAAAUGUAUGAAAUUUGCUCUGCCUACUGUAUUGAACUCUGAGCUUUUGCCAAAGAAAUCGCUGUAGAAAAUCUCCUAAAGGGAGACCGACGCAGUACUGUACCCGAUAUAGCUGAAUAAUUGGGUAUCAGCUUAGCAAAUAAUUAAUGGAAUUUUCAACCAAAGACUUUUGAAUUUUGGGCAAAAAUUCACGUUUGCAUGCGUUUCUUACAACGGUAUAGAGAAGAAGGAGAAAAUUUAUUGCAUCGAAUACUCACCCUGCAGGAAACUCUUUCUCAGAAAGUGGUAGUCGGCCUCAGUUGAAAUAUAUAAAUAAUUAGUGUAGUUCUUUCAAUAUCAAUUGUAGAUUAUAAAAAUUCUUACCGACAAUUUUGUUUGAACUGCCAUAGCCAUUUUAAAUACUUAUAGACAGAAGCAUUUAAUUGUAGUCCUACCUGGAACUUUGAAAAAAAUCAAUAUUAUACCUCGUUAACUUGCUACAACUGGAUAUAAAACUAUAAAGCGUCAAGAGACGAUUAAAAUGUACCCGCCUGUAAAGGCGUUUGGUUUAAACAGGAUACCAGACGUGAACUGAGCCGUUUUUGUACCCCAUUCGUCUAUUAGAACUCCCGUAGUCUUUUAUCUUGUCGCUAUCAAACUAACCUGGAAGAAUCAGUUAUUGCCAUCCGUUUAAUCAAAUAUUUUUGUUUAAAACAACAUGCUGACAAAACUUGACGCAAAGUUUCUAAACUGGAUGGGGCAAGCUUCACUGACUAAAGCCAAUGUCUAGCUUUCGCAGAUGACUUAGGGUUGAUAGCAAAAUCCGAGAAGCACUUUAAGAAAGCAGUAAUAAAAUUGGAAGAAGAAGCCAAGAAUUUUGGAACAGAAAUAAAUCAAGAGAAGACAAAAUACAUGAUCAUGGAAGAUACACAGAGAUAAAGAGACCUUUAGGACAACCAGACACAAAAAGUACAAUUUUGAUAGAGUUUCCAACUUUGUGUAUCUAGGAGUAGUAAUAUAAGAUAAGGGAGUAGAAGAAUUAGAACCGAAAGCCACAAUAACUAAAGGAGCACAAAAAUUCGGAAGUAUUAGAUGACUGAUGAAGUCAAAAUACGCGUCAAAAAAAACAAAAGUAAAGAAUAUAUAAAACGGUAGUAAGACAUGGAUAUUGGAAAAGGAAGAUGAAGCCAUGUUGGAAGGAUGGGUGAGGAAAAUACUAAGAGGAAUCUCCGGAGCAGUACACACAGAAGCGGGCUGGAGGAGAAGAACUAAUAAAGAAUUGGAGGAAAUUUAUGGAGAAGCUAAAAUAAGCUCGUUUUUUAAUGGACAGAGAGUGAGAUUGUUGGGACAUGUUAAGAGACUACAUUGAGAACGGAUGCAAAAAUUAGUACUGCAAAGAAGACCAAUAGGAAAAAAGAGAAAGGGGCGACCAAAUAAGAGAUAGUAUAACUGUGUAAUGGAAGACCUAAAAAAUAAUAAUGUUCAGAAUUGGAAAGAAAAAGCUGUGAACAGGAAGGAAUAGAGAAGUAUUAUGUGAAAAAUUCAAAAUAGAGAGCUUUGAUAUAUAAUAUAUAAAACUAUGUAAUAUUGCCAUUCUUGCCCUAGGCCUACAUGGCCUCUCAUGGCCUCCCAUUUUUUUUCUACGAAAAUAAGAAGCCAAAACAACAAGAUUGUGGUAAUUAGUAACAAAAAAGUUUAGUAGUGUUUACAUAUUGAAGCGACUAUAUAAAUAAUAGUAAAAAAAAGAGCAGUGAAAAUAAAAAAGCAUAGAUGUUAACUAGAAGCUGCUUUCACAAAAUAUACGUUGAGAUAAAUAUGAUGGGAUGCUGAAAAUCUCAACGACAAGACCUGUCUACAGAUCAAAACGACGCGAUAUUCCAAUACGUAGUGCGAUAUUGCUGCAAGACAACGCCAAACCGCAUACAGCGCUUGGCUUACGAUGGAAACGUUGAGAGAAUUGAGUUGAGAAAGACUGGAAAAUUAUCCUUAUAGUCCCGAUUUGUUGCCGUGCGACUAUUAUUUAUUUGGCCCAUUGAAGGAGGUACUUGAAGUAGAAUCCUUCGUGCGUGAACGGUUUUGUGAAAAGCUGGAACAUUUUUAGUAGAAAGGCAUCCGAAAGCUUCCGGAAAGGCUACAAAACUGUGAUGGAGAUGAUCUAGAAAAAAUAUAACUACUACUUCUUUUCUAGGCGUUCACUCAACUACACAGACUAUUGAAUAUUGUUAAAAUGACUGGAUAUUUAAGGUUUAAAUUACAAAAUGCUGAUAGAAAAUAUAUGUAAUAAUAAUUAUUUUUUUUUUAUUUAGCUCUGAAAGAAUCAGUUUCUGCUGCAAUGAUAUUUCUACAGUGUAUUAUUAGACCUUGUGUGGUUUUACAUCUGUCAAAAACAAAAAAUAAUCAAGAAUUUCCGAAUUCCGAUACAGAAGAUGAUACAAAUCGAACUUUGUCGAUUGAAAGGGGCGAAAGAAAUAUGAAAAUUAAUGAUCAGACGUAUUGUUCGGUGCCAGUGAAAACCAAUGUAACCGACCCAAAACAAUCUGUAGAGAAUAAUCCUUUUGAGAAUGAUUAUGCUGAACUUUCAUAAGAAACAAAUCGAAUCAAAUUGUUGGUUAGAUAUUUGCAGAGAAUCGAAUUUAUAGAAAACUGGAAUCAAUUUUUGAGGAGAAUUGUGUACAUCCGUUUUAUAAUGUUCUCAUAGAUUUUUUUAUAUUAAUACACUUUUCGUUUAUUUAUGUAAUUUUUUUUUCAGUGACUGGAAAAAGUUUGAUAUAUCUCAAAAUAAAAUGUCGCUUCUUAUGAAAUAAACGCAUAAGAUCCAAAACUUUUUCAAUUGCACUGACACAACAUUACUUUUUGCAAAUAAUUAAUAAAUUAAUAUUGAUAUUGCAAAUAUCAUCAAGUACAUUAUAUUGUCCACUAAAUAAAAUGUUUAUAA